Musa acuminata AAA Group (dessert banana) is the source of this 1131-nucleotide long non-coding RNA. RefSeq lists it as uncharacterized. Lineage: Eukaryota; Viridiplantae; Streptophyta; Magnoliopsida; Zingiberales; Musaceae. The transcript has 2 exons. The record is from RefSeq and is a predicted model, not a curated record.
AAUCCGUGCGGGUAAACCCAUACGGGUCCAUUCCAAACCUACUAGCCCCGUUUUAUUAGCGUCUCUCCGAAGCCAUCCGCGUUCUCCCGCCAUGAGAACAGAUCAAGCAAGUUACGGAAGCUACGGAAGUUCCUCCUCCCCGUUCUCCCCAUCUCUUCCUCUCAUCCGGCUGCCGAAGCACUCCUUCUUCACUCCUACGUCGACGUCGUCUUCGGUCCCCUAAACACCCACGUCGGGUCUCGCUCCUUCCGACCUACCUCCUCUUUAGCUCCGUAUUCCUCACCCCACCACCCCGGGCUGCAUACAAUUUCUCUUUCCUCCUCGCCUCCGACAGUCUCCUGGCGCCGGGCUUGAUCCAGCCAGAGCAGGCCACGGUGUACGCAAUCAAUUUUGGGCUCGAGACCCGGGUGUCCGUUUCCAUUGUAAUGAUCCUUAUGUAUAGGAGCUGUGGGUCAGUCCACGAAGCGUAUAUGGUGCCUGACGCGAGAGCUGUUCUCAGAGAACUUGUUGCAUCGGUUGGCAUGGGCAUAUGAUAAUAUAGACCGCGCUAGCGAGUUGUUCGACAAAAUGCUGCAGAAGGAUGCUGUAUCAUGGAGUGGCAGAUGAUGUGCUGUGAAUUGCAUGCAUGUCUUCAACGUGGUAGAAGAUCAAGGAUUGAAGUCACAUCUUCAUAUUUGAGAUAUCGAGUGAAAGAGAACAGAUUUCUGUACCUGCUGUGAUAGGAACAACAGGGCGAAGCUUUUGUACCAUUGCACCCGGAAUAGGACAAACCGAAAAAGAAGUGCUGUGUCACCUGUCCACAGGUUUCGCCAAGGAUUGUUCUUAAAGGUAAACGAGAACAACACGUUUCCUUGUAUUAUAUGUUCAUCGAAUGAAUGGUGGUUAAGUAAAGAUUGGAUUUGUGACAAUCUUUACAGAAGGUACUGCUGCAGGAUUUGCAGAAUGAUGCAUCUGCAUGACCUUAGUAGUAUGAAAGGUCAUUGGGAACUUAGCCGAAAACAUGUUAAACCUACCCCCUACCCCCUAACGACCAGCCACCACCGUGGUGGAGAAUUACUUUAUUGUAUAGCAGCCAGCAUAAACUAAAGGGGUGUUUAUAAUGCAAGAGGAUAUGUGAAUUCUUUUAGGUUC